Long non-coding RNA from Balaenoptera musculus (blue whale), 1455 nucleotides. RefSeq lists it as uncharacterized. The transcript is spliced from 7 exons. The record is from RefSeq and is a predicted model, not a curated record. NCBI's taxonomy places the organism in Eukaryota, Metazoa, Chordata, Mammalia, Artiodactyla, Balaenopteridae.
UUGGAGGGUGGUUAGUGGGUUUAGCUGGUGUGGGCUUCUUUUCAUCCGUGUGCUCUGGUUAAAUCCAGUGCCAUCGCGCUUCUUGUGAGUCCCACCGAGAGAAUGCGAAGGGGAGAGGCAGGACCAAAGUUGAGGCGAGUCCUGUGGCAUGCCGAUGGGUCUCCAGGUAUGUGACCUCAGAGGAGCUUGAAUGAGAAUAUAAUACCAAGAUAAGUCGACUUUCAGUUCAACUGAUUCUUUCCUGCAAGAUCCUUUGCCGCAAUGGGGGAAUUAAGAAGGGAAUAAGCUGGCAAGAAUGUGUCCAACAUUUCCAAGCAAGAUUGUUCUUUUUCCCUUUUUGUUUAUUUUAUCCAGACUCUAGCCAAAAAGAUUCAUCUCAAGGAAAUGCCAGACUUUUUCCGAAGUGGCUGUACCAUUUUGCAUUCCCACGAGCGAUGGGCGAGGGUUCCAGUUCCUCCACAUUCUCAUGGGUGUGAAGUGUCAUCAUUGUGGCGGUUGCCCUUUUUUAAGGACUCAAAAGUUUGUAAGAAACUUGCUAGAGGAUGCUCCUUGAGUGCAGACACAAUGUCUAAGGAAUUAUAUUCUUGGAGAUGUUGGAAGAAGAUUCCUGGGUCUUGGAAGAUAAUUACUAGAAAUAUGCAGGGGAGGAAUAAAAUUGAAGGGUGUUUUUCUUAGAGAACACCAUUUGUCAGAUUUAUCAGGAAUUUGAAGAUUUAUAUAAGGAACAGAAAGCCGCUGACGGUUGAAAUGGAGCAUUCACUUCUUUGGAUUGAGGACUGUAAUCCAAAACAAAUCCCAGUCAGUUUGGCAUUGAAGUUAGUUGCUGCGCUGAAGGAAAAUGGUAAUUACAAGGACAUCUAUUUACUGCCAGUAAAGGCUGGUUUCCUUGUUUCAGAAGUCAACAUGAAUUGAUUAAUGUUAAGCUGCCUGGUGAAGCUACAAGCUCAGAUAAGGAUGCUACUGUGAAAUUUGCACUCAAGAUUCCAAGAAUUACAGGCAGUCCUUGCUUUGCACAGUAGUGAGAGACUGUACGAUGCAAAAAACUGCAGGAUAUGGAUGGGAUGUAAAUGGAGUUAGAAGAUAAAGAUGACCUUGGGAAUGCUGACACUGGUGCCAUUCAAGAAAUAGUUCUAGAUACGCAGGAGGCAGAACGUAGUGAAGGCGAAUAUAAAGUUUUACGUGAGUAAAGCAGUUGUAAAGGAUGAACGUGUCUCAGAAGUCAUGCUGUUGAAAAACUUCACAUUGAAGGAACUUUCAGAGAUGUUUCAUGACAUUGACAGCACAAAGGAUAAAAUUUUGGAAGCUGAUUCAAACUUAGAAAGGAGUAUGACAGUUUGCCAAGGCAGAGAGAUAAGAUGCUCAUUCCGUGUUAUGUCAUAUAAUGUGAAGAAAGCAAGCACUUUUCAAACUACUUGAUACAUUUUUUUAUAAAGAAAUAAAACAUUAUAAUUUUCA